CGCUGCAAUCGACGUUGUCAUCAUCCUCAUCCCCUCUCCACCGUCUCUGUUUGUUUUCGUUCUGUCAAGUAUCGGUGCAACCGACCUUGUUGCCGUCAUCAUUUUAAUCUCCUCAUGAUGUAUAUCCAUUUGCCUCCAAGCCAAACCGAUUUUUUCUUCUCGGUGCAAGCCAGCCACAGCUAGAGCUCGUAGCCCCCACUCUCAACCUCCAUCCAUCCAUCUUCACCGGUCGCCGCCAACAGAGGAAGGCGUCGCUAUGACCCCUCUACCCCACCGUGAAUCUGCACCGUCUCCCAUGGCUGGAAUCGCCGCUGUCGAGCCCGGCCAAGCUGGAGCUAAGGUUUUUGCCGCCGGCGCUUCAUUGCAAAAUUCGUCGCCACCAAUGCUCUUCAUCCAAAUUAAAUGAAGAGCAGGUUUUCGUCAAGAUUGCCCGUGUUAGGGUCGCUUCCUUCGCUCGAGCUUGCCUGUGGUGUUGUUGGGUCUUCUGCUUGCUGUCUGGUUGUCUUUUUGAAAAGCUAGGCCGACGUGCCAUAUUUCCGCUGCUAAAAUCGUUAAUAUGAGGUUGAUUGGAAUUCUAGGAGGCUAUGAAGGAGGUUGUUGGGUUAGAGAUGACUUUUGGCUUUUGGUGACUACACCUCAACGAUGCACUGUUCAAUUUGCUUUUGUGGUAUGAAAAAAAAUAUGUAUGGCUUAAGUAUGGUUAUCAAUUUAUACAUUUUGUAGUAACGUGUGGACAUUUUAUUUUAUUUUUAUGUUAAAAACCUUUAGUUGUACCUGUUGCUUAUCUUUAGUUAGUCAUGUAAUGAAUUACCUUGAGUCAAGAUCUAUGCAAGUUGGUUAUCUUUAGUUGGCCACUAAGCCUCUACUCUACACAGUGAGCCACAGAGAUGGUGCACAGUGUAUCUAAUUUUUUUAUGUGUAUACAACUAUUAAAAAUAUAAAUAGCUAGCAAUAUAGCUGGCUCUUUGAACUGCUGGCUAUUUUGCUCACGAUGUGUAUAUCUUUUAGCUAGCAACUAUCUAGUAAUGUUGCGGACCCAGGGCCGUGUUUCCUAGGCUCUGCUUGUGUGC
This is a long non-coding RNA of Oryza brachyantha (malo sina), 1070 nucleotides long. RefSeq lists it as uncharacterized. The transcript has 3 exons. Lineage: Eukaryota; Viridiplantae; Streptophyta; Magnoliopsida; Poales; Poaceae. The record is from RefSeq and is a predicted model, not a curated record.